GAUGAACGCUGGCGGCGUGCCUAAUACAUGCAAGUCGAGCGGACGGACGAGAAGUUUGCUUCUCUGAUGUUAGCGGCGGACGGGUGAGUAACACGUGGAUAACCUACCUAUAAGACUGGGAUAACUUCGGGAAACCGGAGCUAAUACCGGAUAAUAUUUUGAACCGCAUGGUUCAAUAGUGAAAGACGGUCUUGCUGGCAGUUAUAGAUGGUUCCGCGCUGCAUUAGCUAGUUGGUAAGGUAACGGCUUACGAAGGCAACGAUGGGUAGGCGACAUGAGAGGGGGAACAGCCACAAUGGUCCUGCGACAGGGACCAGACUGCUACGGGAGGCAGCAGUGGGAAAUAUUGCACAACGGGGGCAAGCCUGAUGCGGAGAUGCCGGGUGCGGGAUGCCGGCCUUCGGGUUGAAAACCUCUUUGAGCAGGGAAGAAGCGAAAGUGACGGUACCUGAUCAGAAAGCGCCGGCUAACUACGUG
This 477-nucleotide ribosomal RNA is filed under the name uncultured bacterium. RNAcentral describes it as "partial 16S ribosomal RNA". It matches the Rfam family "Bacterial small subunit ribosomal RNA", at positions 28 to 507 of the family's 1533-position model. The record is from RNAcentral.